UGGGAGGAAGUAUGUGUGGCUAAGGGAAUAUAUUGUAUCAUGAGGUCAUGGAAAUUGCAUCACAACCUAUCACUUAUUUUGGAAGUUCAUGGUAAUAGUAAACACAUUGAGGAAGUUGUUAUUGUAUCCAAGAGAUGGUAAAUAAAUUUAGAUACAACUUCAUUUUAUUGAUCGAAAUGUUUCAGCCAAGGAGAUGUUGGGAAUCUAUGCGGCUUUCAACAUUAUUCUAUAUUGUGUUUAUUGUUCAACUCAAUGUGGAAUUAUUCGGAUACAUGUGAUAGGAAAGUAUUGAUGUGGAAUCUAACUCGAGGAAUUUGUACUCGAGGUGCCGAUGAUGUUUGUGCUAGAAUACAGUAGAGGAAUAAGUUGAGAUCGACUCUACUGGAAUGUUUAUUAUGUACGUACAUGUUUGACCUGGGUACAGCACGGCGAAAGAGCUGGGUUUGUUUUGCAGGAUCGGCUCUGCAGGCUAUUAACCCACAUGAUCAUAUUGGAAUUGAUCUCAUAUAUACAACUGAUCGUGCCACAUGGCUCA
This 535-nucleotide long non-coding RNA is filed under the name Setaria viridis. Its description in RNAcentral is "long non-coding RNA (SVIR_LNC009468)". Lineage: Eukaryota; Viridiplantae; Streptophyta; Magnoliopsida; Poales; Poaceae. The record is from RNAcentral.